Molecule: non-coding RNA, 76 nt
Organism: Ataeniobius toweri
Lineage: Eukaryota; Metazoa; Chordata; Actinopteri; Cyprinodontiformes; Goodeidae
Source: the annotation of a GenBank genome assembly
GGUACUGUGGCUUAGUUGGAAAAAGUACCAGUCUCAUAAACAGGCGAUCCUGGGUUCAAAUCCCAACAAUAUUCCU